Molecule: ribosomal RNA, 465 nt
Filed under: uncultured Alphaproteobacteria bacterium
Lineage: Bacteria; Pseudomonadati; Pseudomonadota; Alphaproteobacteria
Description: bacterial SSU rRNA
Rfam family: Bacterial small subunit ribosomal RNA
Source: RNAcentral
CGGUCUUAGCGGCGGACGGGUGAGUAACGCGUGGGAACGUGCCCUUCACUACGGAAUAGUCCCGGGAAACUGGGUUUAAUACCGUAUACGCCCUUCGGGGGAAAGAAUUUCGGUGAAGGAUCGGCCCGCGUUGGAUUAGGUAGUUGGUGGGGUAAUGGCCUACCAAGCCGACGAUCCAUAGCUGGUUUGAGAGGAUGAUCAGCCACACUGGGACUGAGACACGGCCCAUACUCCUACGGGAGGCAGCAGUGGGGAAUCUUAGACAAUGGGCGCAAGCCUGAUCUAGCGAUGCCGCGUGAGUGAUGAAGGUCUUAGGAUCGUAAAGCUCUUUCGCCAGGGAUGAUAAUGACAGUACCUGGUAAAGAAACCCCGGCUAACUCCGUGCCAGCAGCCGCGGUAAUACGGAGGGGGUUAGCGUUGUUCGGAAUUACUGGGCGUAAAGCGCGCGUAGGCGGAUUAUUAAGU